This 487-nucleotide ribosomal RNA is filed under the name uncultured bacterium. Its description in RNAcentral is "partial 16S ribosomal RNA". It matches the Rfam family "Bacterial small subunit ribosomal RNA", at positions 899 to 1397 of the family's 1533-position model. The record is from RNAcentral.
ACUCAAAUGAAUUGACGGGGACCCACACAAGCAGUGGAUCAUGUGGUUUAAUUCGACAAUAAACGAGGAACCUUACCCAGGCUUGACAUCUCGCGAAAGGAGUGGAAACAUUCCCGUGCCCGCAAGGGAACGCGAUGACAGGUGCUGCAUGGUUGUCGUCAGCUCGUGCCUUGAGGUGUUCGGUUAAGUCCGUUAACGAGCGCAACCCAUGUCGUUAGUUACUAUGUCUAACGAGACUGCCCGAGUUAAUCGGGAGGAAGGUGUGGAUGACGUCAAAUCAGCAUGGCCCUUAUGCCUGGGGCCACACACAUGAUACAAUGGUCGGUACAAUGAGCAGCGAAGGGGUAACCCGGAGCAAAUCUCAUCAAAGCCGAUCUCAGUCCAGAUUGAGGUCUGCAACUCGACCUCAUGAAGUUGGAAUUGCUAGUAAUCGUGAAUCAGCUAUGUCACGGUGAAUAUGUUCCUGGGUCUUGUACACACCGCCCGU